AGACAAAGAAAGAAGUAAAGCUUGCUGACACACACACACACACACACACACACACACACACACACACACACACACACACACACACACACACACACACACACACACACACACACACACAUACAUACAUACAUACACAAACAAACACACAAUGCAGGCUGCUUGUCUGAGGUGCUGUCAGACAGGGCUAAACAGUUCAGGGUAUAGGACGAGGGAGAGUAAGAGGAGGAGCAGGAGCAGGAGAGGAGGGGGAGGAGGAGGAGGAGGAGAAGAGGGUUCUCAGGGUUUAUAAGGAAGAUGCAGUAAUUCAUCUGUCCUUUCUAUCCUGCGGAUAUGUCUGCUGAAGGAUUCAGGGGGCUGGUGACCAUAACCCUUUAACAGGUCACCAUGGAGUCCCAUUCUGUCUGCUUGCUAUGAAUCAUUGAGGAGGAGGAGGAGGAGGAGGAGGAGGAGGAGGAGGAGGAGAAGAAAUCCUGGGCUAGACUAAGGGCGGGUCGCGCCUCCCCCGCGACCGUCCGGUCAUGAGAACACUACACAUCGGGUGUGGCCUUCACUAGGGAGUAACGCAACAGUGGUGCUGCCUACCGCAGGAACAAGGCCGAUGCGUCGUGUUCCCAUGCCGGGCCAGCAGGGGGUGACGUGUGCAGAGCCAGUGCUGCAGAAAUGCAGUGACCUCGAAACAACUAACCAAAACUCAGACUACAGAAGCAAAACCACAAAAGCCAAAACUACUUUCCACUUCCCUUUUCCCCUUUGGCUUCUGGUGGUCUGCGUGCUUGGUUAGGUGGGCUCGAGGGAGGGGCCUGCUGAUAAACACAAUCCCAUAAUAGAUUCACCUAAAAAGGCUGUACGCAACAUUUACUGUAAAAACCAAUGAAAAUGUGAAAAUAAAACUGUAAACACAUGCAACUUUAA
Oncorhynchus kisutch (coho salmon) is the source of this 912-nucleotide long non-coding RNA. RefSeq lists it as uncharacterized. The record is from RefSeq and is a predicted model, not a curated record. Lineage: Eukaryota; Metazoa; Chordata; Actinopteri; Salmoniformes; Salmonidae. The transcript has 3 exons.